CUAGGGCGGCAGCAGUGGGGAAUAUUGGACAAUGGGCGAAAGCCUGAUCCAGCCAUGCCGCGUGUGUGAAGAAGGCCUUCGGGUUGUAAAGCACUUUCAGUGGGGAAGAAAGCCUUGGGGCUAAUACCCUCGAGGAAGGACAUCACCCACAGAAGAAGCACCGGCUAACUCCGUGCCAGCAGCCGCGGUAAUACGGAGGGUGCGAGCGUUAAUCGGAAUUACUGGGCGUAAAGCGCGCGUAGGCGGUCUGAUAAGCCGGUUGUGAAAGCCCCGGGCUCAACCUGGGAACGGCAUCCGGAACUGUCAGGCUAGAGUGCAGGAGAGGAAGGUAGAAUUCCCGGUGUAGCGGUGAAAUGCGUAGAGAUCGGGAGGAAUACCAGUGGCGAAGGCGGCCUUCUGGACUGACACUGACGCUGAGGUGCGAAAGCGUGGGUAGCAAACAGGAUUAGAUACCCCGGUAGUC
RNAcentral lists this ribosomal RNA (463 nucleotides) under Vreelandella stevensii. Its description in RNAcentral is "partial 16S ribosomal RNA". It matches the Rfam family "Bacterial small subunit ribosomal RNA", at positions 339 to 795 of the family's 1533-position model. The record is from RNAcentral. Lineage: Bacteria; Pseudomonadati; Pseudomonadota; Gammaproteobacteria; Oceanospirillales; Halomonadaceae.